GACAUGUGGAGCUUCUAGAAGUGAGAAUGCCGGUAUGAGUAACGAAAGACAGGUGAGAAUCCUGUCCGCCGCAAGACUAAGGUUUCCUGGGGCAGGCUCGUCCGCCCAGGGUAAGUCGGGACCUAAGGCGAGGCCGAGAGGCGUAGUCGAUGGACAACAGGUUGAAAUUCCUGUACUGCACCGAAUCGUUAUGAGCGAUGGAGGGACGCAGGAGGCUAGCAGCGCGUGGUGCUGGAUACCACGUUCAAGCGUCAAGUCUGAGAGUGAGUCAAAUGCUUGCUCUCAUAAGGACAAGGCGUGAUGAGGAGCGAAAUUAAAGUAGCGAAGG
Molecule: ribosomal RNA, 328 nt
Filed under: Lactobacillus delbrueckii subsp. bulgaricus
Lineage: Bacteria; Bacillati; Bacillota; Bacilli; Lactobacillales; Lactobacillaceae
Description: partial 23S ribosomal RNA
Rfam family: Bacterial large subunit ribosomal RNA
Source: RNAcentral